Molecule: unclassified non-coding RNA, 333 nt
Filed under: plant metagenome
Description: partial contains 5.8S ribosomal RNA, internal transcribed spacer 2, and large subunit ribosomal RNA
Rfam family: 5.8S ribosomal RNA (bases 1-105)
Source: RNAcentral
GAAGUGCGAUAAGUAAUGUGACUUGCAGAAUACCGUGAAUCAUCGAAUCUUUGAACGCAUAUUGCACUCUCUGGUAUUCCGGAGAGUAUGCCUGUUUGAGGGUCAGCUAAAAAAAUCAAGCGUUAUUGCUUUUUGUGGUGACGUUUGGAAUUGAGUCGUCUUAACCUCAUGGUCAAGUGACUUAAAAUUUUUUUAAUGAUUUUCGAAACGUAUUUAAUAUUUACAUACGUUUGCGAUAUCAAUCUAUUAGAUGUGGUCAUUUUCCAUGAUUCGCGUCUAUAGUUUUUCAUUAAAUGACCUCAAAUCAGGUAAGAGUACCCGCUGAACUUAAGC